This is a long non-coding RNA of Arvicola amphibius (Eurasian water vole), 886 nucleotides long. RefSeq lists it as uncharacterized. Lineage: Eukaryota; Metazoa; Chordata; Mammalia; Rodentia; Cricetidae. The transcript has 6 exons. The record is from RefSeq and is a predicted model, not a curated record.
CAGGAGUCUCCCAGAAAGCUGAGGAGCUGUGGCAGCCUGGAGGCGUCUCUCAUGAAGGGAUUGUGUGAGAUGCGGUUCUGGGGAGAUGGCUACAGAUUCAUAGAAGACGCCACAGCCUCUAGUAGAGUCUUGGCUAUCCACUCCAGUAUCUAAGUUGUAGUGACUUGCUCUGAGCGCAGGCCCUUUCCUUGAUGAAGUCUGGUAUGGCUACUCUACUGUGUUCUUCAUUUCAUCAGAGUUCAAGAGUAACACUUUUGAAAGGGCUAUAGUACCCAUGCUUCAAAGUGAGCCAAGGGAAUGUGGACUUGUGCCAGCUAGACCCCACGGGUACCGAAUGAAAGGUUGUUCCAGUGACCGAGAUCAUCUCAGAGACGGAGACAGGAGGCUUGGCCCCAGGACGGACCCACAAGGGGAAAACAUUCUCUCUCCAUCGCUCACAGGAGCACAAGGAAGGACUGAGGUCAUGAGUUCAUUUAAAAGUGCAAUAUGACCACUUUACUCUUACUUCCCACCUGUCUCUAAAUGAGAGAUGGUUCUGACAUUUUUUUAUUUUGCUUUUGAUAGCUCCGUUGAGUGGCACCUGCCCUGCUAUGCCACUCCAGAGAAUAAACUAAAGCACGGCAGGUCUCUAGCUCAGAAUGGCUUUGAAUUUGCGGUGUAGCUGAGGAUGACCUUGAACUAAUCAUCCUCUGCCUCCCUCUCCCAGUGCUAGUGACUCCAACUGCGCUUUUCUGUAUAAUCUUCUCUAUACAAGGGUGCUUUAUCUCUCCAGCUCUUCCACAUCUGCAUUCUACCUAAUGGGAUGGCCUUUCCUAUUCAAGAUAAUCAAGACUGUUUGUUAAUCAACGUAACUGACAAUAUCAAAACCAAUACAAUUCUAAAAUAA